Molecule: ribosomal RNA, 450 nt
Filed under: uncultured bacterium
Lineage: Bacteria
Description: partial 16S ribosomal RNA
Rfam family: Bacterial small subunit ribosomal RNA
Source: RNAcentral
UGGGGGAAUAUUGCACAAUGGGCGCAAGCCUGAUGCAGCCAUGCCGCGUGUGUGAAGAAGGCCUUCGGGUUGUAAAGCACUUUCAGCGAGGAGGAAGGUGGUGAGCUUAAUACGCUCAUCAAUUGACGUUACUCGCAGAAGAAGCACCGGCUAACUCCGUGCCAGCAGCCGCGGUAAUACGGAGGGUGCAAGCGUUAAUCGGAAUUACUGGGCGUAAAGCGCACGCAGGCGGUUUGUUAAGUCAGAUGUGAAAUCCCCGGGCUCAACCUGGGAACUGCAUUUGAAACUGGCAAGCUAGAGUCUCGUAGAGGGGGGUAGAAUUCCAGGUGUAGCGGUGAAAUGCGUAGAGGAUCUGGAGGAAUACCGGUGGCGAAGGCGGCCCCCUGGACGAAGACUGACGCUCAGGUGCGAAAAGCGUGGGGCAGCAAACAGGAUUAGAUACCCCUGGUA